RNAcentral lists this non-coding RNA (951 nucleotides) under Amphiprion polymnus (saddleback clownfish). Its description in RNAcentral is "12S ribosomal RNA". It matches the Rfam family "Bacterial small subunit ribosomal RNA". The record is from RNAcentral. Lineage: Eukaryota; Metazoa; Chordata; Actinopteri; Pomacentridae.
CAAAGGCUUGGUCCUGACUUUACUGUCGGCUCUAGCUAGACUUACACAUGCAAGUAUCCGCAUCCCUGUGAGAAUGCCCUCCAGUCUCCCGCCCGGAGGCAAGGAGCUGGUAUCAGGCACGGUUAACACCAGCCCAUGACACCUUGCUUAGCCACACCCUCAAGGGACACCAGCAGUGAUAAAUAUUAAGCUAUAAGUGAAAACUUGACUUAGUUAAAGCUUAGAGGGCCGGUAAAACUCGUGCCAGCCACCGCGGUUAUACGAGAGGCCCAAGUUGACAGACUACGGCGUAAAGAGUGGUUAGGGAAACUUUUAAACUAAAGCCGAACGUCCUCAAAGCUGUUUAACGCUCCCGAGUUAAGAAGAUCCAUUACGAAAGUAGCUUUAUUCAACCUGACCCCACGAAAGCUGUGAAACAAACUGGGAUUAGAUACCCCACUAUGCUCAGCCCUAAAAUUUGAUAGGCCAACUACGCCCCCUAUCCGCCCGGGUACUACGAGCAUCAGCUUAAAACCCAAAGGACUUGGCGGUGCUUCACAUCCGUCUAGAGGAGCCUGUUCUAGAACCGAUAACCCCCGUUAAACCUCACCCUCCCUUGUUAAUACCGCCUAUAUACCGCCGUCGUCAGCCUACCCUGUGAAGGACUAGAAGUGAGCAAGAUUGGUAAGACCCAAAACGUCAGGUCGAGGUGUAGUGUAUGAGAGGGGAAGAAAUGGGCUACAUUUCCUAAAUCAGGAAACACGAAUAAUGAACUGAAAUGAGCAUUAGAAGGUGGAUUUAGCAGUAAGCAGUAAAACAGAGUGUUCUGCUGAAAUUUGGCAAUAAAGCACGCACAUAUCGCCCGUCACUCUCCCCGAGCUAAUACAAAAGCAAAUACCUAAAAAACUACAUCUGCAAAGGGGAGGCAAGUCGUAACAUGGUAAGCGUACCGGAAGGUGCGCUUGGAACAAU